AUGGUUCCGACAGGGCCCGAGCGGGUCCGAACGGGUUUGAGCGGGGCUGAGGGCCCCGAGCGGUUCCGAACGGGCCCGAAUGGACCCGAAGGGGCCCGAGCUGAGGGGGCAGCGCGGGGUGGGGCCUUCGGCCUCGGCCGCCUCCUCUUCCUCCUCCUGCUGCUCUUCCUCCUCUUCCUCCUCUGCUCCUUCUUCGUUCUCUGCUCUUCAGCCUCUUCCUCCUCCUCAUCCUCAUCUUCCUCCUGCUGCUCUUCCUCCUCUUCCUCUUCUGUUCUCCUCAUCCUCAUCUUCCUCAUCCUCCUCUGCUCUUCCUCCUCAUCCUCCUCUGCCUCUUCCUCCUCCUCCUGCUCAGCCUCUGGGUCCGCUCCUCUUCCUCCUCUUCCUCCCCUUCCUCCCCUUCCUCCCCUUCCUCCUCCUCCUCAGGGCUCUGGGAAGGAGCUGGGCUGGGGCUCUGUGGCCUUCCUCCCGCACCUCUUCCUCCUGCUCUUCCUCCCACUUUUCCUCCUCUUCAUUUCCUUCUCCUCUUCCUCCUCUUCCUGCUUUUCCUGCUUUUCCUCUUCUUCUUCUUCCUUCUCUUCUCCUUUUCUUCUUCUUCUCCUGCUCUUCCUCCCCUUCUCAUCUUCCUCCUUCUCUUCCUCCUCUUCAUCUUGUCCUGCUCUUCCUCCCCUUACUGCUCUUUCUCCUCACCCGCUCUUCCUCCUCCUCCUCUUCCUCCUUUUCCUCUUCUUCCUCCUCUUCAUCUUUUCCUGCUCUUCCUCCUCCUCCUCUUCCUCCUCUUCUCCUGCUCUUCCUCGUCUCCCUCUUCUUCCUCCUCCUCCUGUUCUUCCUCUUCAUCUUUCCCUGCUCUUCCUCCUCUUCCUCCUGCUCUUCCUCCUCCUGUUCUUCCUCCUUUUCCUUUUCUUCCUCUUCCUCCUCUUCAUCUUCUCCUGCUCUUCCUCCCCUUCUCUUCUUUCUCCUCCUCUUCUCCUCCUCCCCUCCCUCCUCUUCCUCCUCUUCUGCUCUUCCUCCUUUCCCUCCUCUUCCUCCUCUCCUUUUCCUACUCCUCUUCCUCCUCUUCCUCUUCUCCUGCUCUUCCUCCCCCGCCGGGCUCUCUGUGGAAUUCUGGGAAUUUGGGGAAUUCCAGGAAUUUUUCAUUCCGGGGCUGUUUUGGGAAUUCCGAGGGGGUUCGGGAAUUCCAGGAGUUUUGGCGAUUCUGGAAUUUUGGCAUUUCUGGGAAUUUUGGUAAUUCCAGGGUUGUUUUUGGGAAUUCCAGGAAUUUGA
RNAcentral lists this long non-coding RNA (1260 nucleotides) under Taeniopygia guttata (zebra finch). Its description in RNAcentral is "lncRNA (ENSTGUG00000029220.1)". Lineage: Eukaryota; Metazoa; Chordata; Aves; Passeriformes; Estrildidae. The record is from RNAcentral.